GCUCCUUUAGCUCAGUCGGUAGAGCGGUGGUCUUAUGAGCCGCAGGUCAUGGGUUCAAACCCCAUAGGGAGCA
This 73-nucleotide transfer RNA is filed under the name Anaerolineales bacterium. RNAcentral describes it as "tRNA-Ile". It matches the Rfam family "tRNA". Rfam says of the family: Transfer RNA (tRNA) molecules are approximately 80 nucleotides in length. Their secondary structure includes four short double-helical elements and three loops (D, anti-codon, and T loops). Further hydrogen bonds mediate the characteristic L-shaped molecular structure. tRNAs have two regions of fundamental functional importance: the anti-codon, which is responsible for specific mRNA codon recognition, and the 3' end, to which the tRNAs corresponding amino acid is attached (by aminoacyl-tRNA synthetases). tRNAs cope with the degeneracy of the genetic code in two manners: having more than one tRNA (with a specific anti-codon) for a particular amino acid; and 'wobble' base-pairing, i.e. permitting non-standard base-pairing at the 3rd anti-codon position. The record is from RNAcentral. Lineage: Bacteria; Bacillati; Chloroflexota; Anaerolineae; Anaerolineales.